Molecule: microRNA precursor, 61 nt
Filed under: Gallid alphaherpesvirus 2
Lineage: Duplodnaviria; Heunggongvirae; Peploviricota; Herviviricetes; Herpesvirales; Orthoherpesviridae
Description: microRNA mdv1-mir-M13 precursor
Gene: mdv1-mir-M13
Source: miRBase by way of RNAcentral
AGUUUUCCAGGAGAUUUCCCGGUUUCGACUGCCGAAGCAUGGAAACGUCCUGGGAAAAUCU